Molecule: ribosomal RNA, 253 nt
Filed under: uncultured bacterium
Lineage: Bacteria
Description: partial 16S ribosomal RNA
Rfam family: Bacterial small subunit ribosomal RNA
Source: RNAcentral
UACAGAGGGGGCAAGCGUUGUUCGGAAUUACUGGGCGUAAAGGGCGCGUAGGCGGCUACCUAAGUCAGACGUGAAAUCCCUCGGCUCAACCGGGGAACUGCGUCUGAUACUGGGCGGCUUGAAUUCGGGAGAGGAAUGCGGAAUUCCAGGUGUAGCGGUGAAAUGCGUAGAUAUCUGGAGGAACACCGGUGGCGAAGGCGGCAUUCUGGACCGACAUUGACGCUGAGGCGCGAAAGCGUGGGGAGCAAACAGG